This is a long non-coding RNA of Malaclemys terrapin pileata, 2935 nucleotides long. RefSeq lists it as uncharacterized. NCBI's taxonomy places the organism in Eukaryota, Metazoa, Chordata, Testudines, Emydidae. The transcript has 4 exons. The record is from RefSeq and is a predicted model, not a curated record.
UCCCACAAAUCCCGCAAGACAGAUCGAUUAAUAUAUAAACUGAUCGGUUGGUUAAUAGAUUAUAUAUAUGUAAAUGGAAUUCAAUUUUUACCACUAAAAGAAUAAAACAAAACUUGCAUAAACCAUGUAAAAACAUUUUAAUUCCUGUUAUAAGACAUCACUUAUUUCUAUCCCUCACUUAAAGUGAAGUAUUAAAAGUUUUAAAGUGUUUUCCCAUAAAUCACCAUAGUCUAUUUUGUUUGCCCACCCAAUCCCAUCCGCAACAAAGUACAUUUUACCUGCUCCUGCUUGGCAUUUGGGUCAUGUAGCACCCAUGGGAUUCCAGUCCUGCUGCAGGUCUCUGGGAUGGGAGAGCAGAAAGAGCCCAACAGCUCAGGGAGACUGCUCCUCCUCUGACCAAUGGGAUGAUUCUUCUGCUUUUCUCCCCUCCACUCUUUCUCCCUUCAACACUUAGGAAGGGGAAGAGGGGGCCCUGCUGCAGCCCCCCAGACUGGAACGAGGUGAAGAAUCCCAGGACUAGAGGUGAUGCUGGGGGGGGGGGGGCAUAAUUGAUUUGGGAUCAGGGCAAAAUGAAUUUCAGGCAGGAAGACAGGUAGAUGUGGGCAUGAAGAUAGAAUCCCAUCUACUCACCCACACACACUUUUUUCAGACCAUUUUAAGCACUGCUAGACUGGUACUGCUGCUGCUUCAGAAAAGUGCUACUUUCUAAUAAUUGUUUACAAAAGUUCAUUAGGAAUUUUGGGUAGAUUAGACGUAGCUUGUGAAGUUCCACCCUAGGGAGAAAAAGCUCCAUUUUGCCAGUUUUCAUAAAGAGACUCUGGAUAUGGAAAUGUAUUAAAAUGAAAAGCAUUGUAUUCUGAGAACGUUGGCUUCUACAUUAAUGGUCCCAAACAGUUUCUCUUAAUAUAGGGUAUGUCUAUACUACCUGCUGGAUCAGCAGGCAGCGAUCGAUGUAGCGGGGGUUGAUUUAUCACGUCUAGUCUAGACGCGAUAAAUCGACCCCGAGCACUUUUCCAUCAACUCUGGUACUCCACCGGAGCAAGAGGCGCAGACGAAGUCGACGGGGGAGCAUCAGCAGUCGACUCACCGUGUCCCUCUUGGGAGUUGGUGGUUUGUAAAAGCAGAUGAUGGACUAGAAUGCAACAUGCCUGGCACAACUGUCCAAACUUUGGCAUCAGUGGAAAACUACACAGCAAUUAGAUCAUGUUGGUUAUCAAGUCUGCUCCCCUCGUCUCAUCCCCCAAACUGCCAGCACUGGAACUCAUCGCAGCUCAGCUGAAGGAGUUCCUUCCAGAGAAGAAGGCUGGCUUGCUCACUCAUUUAAGGAACUUCAUUUUCACCUUUAUACUACAAUCAUCCAAAUCUGCCUUAUAAGGAGAAAAUAUCCAAUCAAAUGACAGGCCUGACAGAUCAUAACCAAGGUCCAAGCAGCAUGCAUUGUGGAAGACUUGCCAGCCAUCCAGUGUUUCAAACAUAUCAACAAUGUAUUUUAACCAUCUUUUCUAUCCUGAGUCUCCUCUACCUUGUUAAGAACAGGAUAAGUAAAUGCCCUCUACAAAUCAGAACUGGGAGUAAAAUUAAUCCUUUUCCUUUUCAUCAAAGAAAGGGAGUUCUGAAAAUAAGACUGAUGGUUUGCCUCCAAAAGGAGGAAAAACUUGAAAGGUUUUGACUGUUUUGCACACUCAACCACAGUUUCAGUAUAAAUGCCUGUUUUAAUUUCUUGUUCUUUCUUGCAUUUAAUCAAUUUUUAAUCUGAAUGAAUACUUUUGGCUGUUUGCCAUAUAACCAAGUAAAACCAAGGCCUUGCUGUUUAAAAGAACCCAUUUCAUGUUGGAGAAUGAAAUCUAUAGACACCUUUUAUGUCCUUAAGAUCAAUAUCCUUUGACAUCAAUAUCAAUGUCCACAGGGGAUAGGACUGAUUGUGAGGUUUGGGGUAGAGUUGCUGGCAGGUAAUGGUCAGAUGUGGGGGUGAAAGCUCCUGCAGCAGGAGCCAAAAAUCAAUUUUACUCCAUAAAUUUGGUAAUAGUCAACAAUUAUUUCUCACACCUGGGACAGGCAGGGAUAGUUCAAAAAUCAAGACAGAUUAGAAAACAAUAUAAUAUUUAAAAAAACAUGGUAUUUGGGGACUGACUCAUGAUUUUUGAUCUUUUGAGGUUGACAAUACUGGAGCCAGGUCUUGAGCUGCUCUAAAGGUCCAGCUCACCCUGUAACAGGUUCCUUUUAUGGUAUUAUCCCAAUGGUUCUCAAACUUUUGUACUGGUGACCCCUUUAACAUAGCAAGCUGCUGAGUGUGACCCCCCCCCCUUUAUAAAUUAAAAACAUUUUUAUAUAUUUAACACCAUAAUAAAUGCUGGAGGCAAAGCAGGGUUUGGGGUGGAGACUGACAGCUCGCGACCACCCCUGUAAUAACCUCCCGACCCCCAGUUUGAGAACCACUGUAUUAUCCAAACUGGUGAUUUUCCUACUGAAAUAGGAAGACCCUCAGACCUCUAACAGGAUCCAUCACUUGGUUCUAAUUCUAGAAUAUUCUAAAAUGUCAGGCUUCAAAGUCAUGAUGUCUUUAUGAACAAAGUCCAUUUUAAGUCACAUUUAGUGGUUUUAACUUUAUCAGCUUUAAUUUCAAUCAUGUACAGUUGGAAUUGUAACUAAGGCAAGUGUCUUUCCAGGCAGAGGCCUACUUCCAAUACAAUUUUAAAACUCAAGCAUUCCUUAAGGUUUUUUGGUAAAAUGUGUUGUAUACAAAUUACAUGAAAUUGUGAGAGAUUUCACAACAUGAAAUUGUGAGAGAUUUUCUUGGCUAUUAAUUGGGAUAACCUACAUAAAACCAGGCUUCAGAGUGGUGAUUAGUCUCAUUAUAAUUGGUAUGGCAACACCCAUUUUUUCAUGUUCUCUGUGUAUAUCUAUAUCUUCCUACUGUAUUUUCCACUGCAUGCAU